This 387-nucleotide ribosomal RNA is filed under the name Triticum aestivum (bread wheat). RNAcentral's name for it is "partial small subunit ribosomal RNA". Lineage: Eukaryota; Viridiplantae; Streptophyta; Magnoliopsida; Poales; Poaceae. The record is from RNAcentral.
AUGCAGCCAGAACAAAAGAAAGCAAAAGUAGAACAAAAUAAAGCUCGCCGUCAAAUGGAGCGCAACACACCGUCCAAAGAUUCACUUGCAAUGGAGAACCCUGAAUAUGUCGCAACCGAACAAGAGGUUAGUACAUUUGCUGUAAAACACAGGGAUAAUGUGCCAGCAGGAAAAAGGCAAACAUUGCUACACCAUCGUAACGAACAAUUCAUGAGAAGACAGAGGCAAACUGUUUCCGUAUCAUCAAAACAAGAUGCAUCCAUGACGAAAAACACCGACGAAAACAAAGAACCUCUGGAGCAACCACAAGUCAUGACUUACGGUAAUAAAUCACAAUUUUAUAUAAUACUCGCACUCCAAGUAAAUAUAAUCUGUCUGUACAACUAA